GUGGUGGGGCAAUGGUACUGAGGCUUGGAAGUCAGUGAUGUUUCGUAAGACUGUUGUCUAAAAAUCUUUUCUACCAAAGUUCUUGGUUGCAAGCAACAGAAAUCCAUAAUUGACAACAAAAGCAACCAGGAGAUUACAUGAAGGGAAAGAGGGGGCUCACAGAAUUGAAGGGAUGCCGGAGAACAAGAAGCUGAAGGCAGGAAGCAGAGCAGGAGACACAGAAACCUCUGGUACCUGGGGCAGACAGACAGAAAAUCUCAACAUUGAAGGAGCCUUGGACAACCACCUAAUCCUAUAUUCAUUGAAUAGUUGAACUGUAUCCGCCCAGCGUAAUACCCAUGGCAACUGGUCUUCCACAUAUGAUGAAAUGGCCUCUGAGAGGUUAAGUCACUCACCCAAAAUUUCCACUGCCAGGAAGUGGUAGUGAUGGGAUUCAAACCUGGAUGGCCCUGAGACCAGAGCUUCCGCUCUACCCACUUCACUAUACUUCUCUUACUACAGGUUCUGUAUUGAGGGCUGCGGAUACAAAGAUGGACAAGAACCUUCCUUCUGCUUCUCAC
Long non-coding RNA from Symphalangus syndactylus (siamang), 560 nucleotides. RefSeq lists it as uncharacterized. The record is from RefSeq and is a predicted model, not a curated record. NCBI's taxonomy places the organism in Eukaryota, Metazoa, Chordata, Mammalia, Primates, Hylobatidae.